Molecule: ribosomal RNA, 253 nt
Filed under: uncultured bacterium
Lineage: Bacteria
Description: partial 16S ribosomal RNA
Rfam family: Bacterial small subunit ribosomal RNA
Source: RNAcentral
UACAGAGGUCCCAAGCGUUGUUCGGAUUCACUGAGCGUAAAGGGUGCGUAGGUGGCAAGGUAAGUCUGAUGUGAAAUCUUCGAGCUCAACUCGGAAACUGCAUCGGAAACUAUCUCGCUAGAGGAUUGGAGGGGGGACUGGAAUUCUCGGUGUAGCAGUGAAAUGCGUAGAUAUCGAGAGGAACACCAGUGGCGAAGGCGAGUCCCUGGACAAUUCCUGACACUGAGGCACGAAAGCUAGGGGAGCAAACAGG